GGAAGCAGGUCGGCAAUCGCUGUAUGCCUUGCGUAUACAGAGGAAAGUCCGAACUCCGAAGGGCAGGGUGCCGGAUAACGUCCGGUGUUCCGGCUGUAAUGGCUGGGAUAAGGAAAGUGCCACAGAAAAUAUACCGCCAUGAACCCCACGUGGUUCAGGGUAAGGGUGAAAAGGCGAGGCAAGAGCUCACCGCUACGGCCGUAAGGACGGAGGCACGGUAAACCCCAUCCGGAGAAAUGUCGAGCAGAGGCAUUAAAGUGGCCCGCUGAGCCUCGGGUAGACAGAAUGACGCGUCCGGGCAACCGGUGUGCAAGAUUAAUGAUUGCCAAGUACAGAAUUCGGCUUAUGGCCUGCUUCCAAAA
This 362-nucleotide RNase P RNA is filed under the name Candidatus Auribacterota bacterium. Its description in RNAcentral is "RNase P RNA component class A". It matches the Rfam family "Bacterial RNase P class A". From Rfam's summary of the family: Ribonuclease P (RNase P) is a ubiquitous endoribonuclease, found in archaea, bacteria and eukarya as well as chloroplasts and mitochondria. The record is from RNAcentral. Lineage: Bacteria; Pseudomonadati; Candidatus Auribacterota.